UUUGAUCAUGGCUCAGGAUGAACGCUGGCUACAGGCUUAACACAUGCAAGUCGAGGGGAAAACGUACGGGGAAGCUUGCUUUCCCCGGGCGUCGACCGGCGCACGGGUGAGUAACGCGUAUCCAACCUGCCUCUGACUGAGGGAAUAACCCGUCGAAAAGUCGGCCUAAUACCUCAUGGCAUCGUCUGCGGGCAUCCAACGACGUAUUAAAGAUUUCAUCGGUCAGGGAUGGGGAUGCGUCUGAAUUAGCUUGUUGGCGGGGUAACGGCCCACCAAGGCUACGAUCAGUAGGGGUUCUGAGAGGAAGGUCCCCCACAUUUGGAACUGAGACACGGUCCAAACUCCUACGGGAGGCAGCAGUGAGGAAUAUUGGUCAAUGGGCGAGAGCCUGAACCAGCCAAGUAGCGUGCAGGAUGACGGCCCUAUGGGUUUGUAAACUGCUUUUUAUGCGGGGAUAAAGUGAGGGACGUGUCCUUUCAUUUGCAGGUACCGCAUGAAUAAGGACCGGCUAAUUCCGUGCCAGCAGCCGCGGUAAUACGGAAGGUCCGGGCGUUAUCCGGAUUUAUUGGGUUUAAAGGGAACGUAGGCCGUGGAUUAAGCGUGUUGUGAAAUGCAGGUGCUCAACGUCUGCACUGCAGCGCGAACUGGUCCACUUGAGUGUGCGCAACGCAGGCGGAAUUCGUCGUGUAGCGGUGAAAUGCUUAGAUAUGACGAAGAACUCCGAUUGCGAAGGCAGCUUGCGGGAGCACAACUGACGCUGAAGCUCGAAAGUGCGGGUAUCGAACAGGAUUAGAUACCCUGGUAGUCCGCACGGUAAACGAUGGAUGCCCGUUGUCAGGCUGUUUCAGCCUGGUGACCAAGCGAAAGCAUUAAGCAUCCCACCUGGGGAGUACGCCGGCAACGGUGAAACUCAAAGGAAUUGACGGGGGCCCGCACAAGCGGAGGAACAUGUGGUUUAAUUCGAUGAUACGCGAGGAACCUUACCCGGGCUUGAAUUGCAGACGAAGGCUUCAGAGAUGAAGCGGCCCUUCGGGGCGUCUGUGAAGGUGCUGCAUGGUUGUCGUCAGCUCGUGCCGUGAGGUGUCGGCUUAAGUGCCAUAACGAGCGCAACCCCUUUCUUCAGUUGCCAUCAGGUGAUGCUGGGCACUCUGGAGACACUGCCACCGCAAGGUGUGAGGAAGGUGGGGAUGACGUCAAAUCAGCACGGCCCUUACGUCCGGGGCUACACACGUGUUACAAUGGCCGGUACAGAGAGUUGAUUUUGUGCAAACACGAUCUAAUCCUUAAAUCCGGUCCCAGUUCGGACUGGGGUCUGCAACCCGACCCCACGAAGCUGGAUUCGCUAGUAAUCGCGCAUCAGCCAUGGCGCGGUGAAAUACGUUCCCGGGCCUUGCACACACCGCCCGUC
RNAcentral lists this ribosomal RNA (1408 nucleotides) under uncultured bacterium. RNAcentral describes it as "bacterial SSU rRNA". It matches the Rfam family "Bacterial small subunit ribosomal RNA". The record is from RNAcentral.